UAUAAAGUGAGUGUUGUUGUUUCUAUCAGUCAUUCGGGUCUACAGGCGGCUUAUACUAUCAUUCCGGCAAAAAUAUCAAAAUGAGGACACAAGUUAUAUUUCUAUUGGCUUUUUUAAUUGGAUGUACAUAUGCACAGAUGGCAAUGAAUCCAAUGGCAUUAAUGAUGAUGAAAGGAGGAGGAGGUUUUUUCGGCAAAUUUUUGAACAAUCCAUAUACUUUAUGUAAAAUGACGGAAAAUGUAAAAGCUGUUCCAUGUAGUAUGAUGCCACAUAUGUGUAUGAUCCAAUCAAUGAAAACCUAUAAAUUACCCAAUCUUAUGAAGUGUAGUCCAAUGGGAGUUGGUUGUUGCUUAAAAGACGCACGAUCAUUGGCUAUGGCUAAAGUUUUCAGUCGUCGUCGUUAAUCUUCAUGGAAACUGGAAGUGGAAUGAUGUCAUCAUGGUUAGCCGCCUGUAAAAAUAGCCAUAAAAUGUCCAUCACAUGAUCUAUAAUCAUCGUUUUAUUGCAUUGUUCUUGAGAAAGAGACCAGAAAAUCAACAUAAAAUAAGAAUGUCCGAAAAUAAAAUGUCAAAAAUC
Mytilus trossulus (common blue mussel) is the source of this 576-nucleotide long non-coding RNA. RefSeq lists it as uncharacterized. The record is from RefSeq and is a predicted model, not a curated record. The transcript is spliced from 3 exons. Lineage: Eukaryota; Metazoa; Mollusca; Bivalvia; Mytilida; Mytilidae.